UACAGAGGGUGCGAGCGUUAAUCGGAAUUACUGGGCGUAAAGCGUGCGUAGACGGUUAUUUAAGUCGGGUGUGAAAGCCCCGGGCUCAACCUGGGAAUUUCAUUCGAGACUGAAUAGCUAGGGUACGGUAGAGGGAAGCGGAAUUUCCGGUGUAGCGGUGAAAUGCGUAGAUAUCGGAAGGAACAUCAGUGGCGAAAGCGGCUUCCUGGACCAGUACCGACGUUCAGGCACGAAAGCGUGGGGAGCAAACAGG
This 253-nucleotide ribosomal RNA is filed under the name uncultured bacterium. RNAcentral's name for it is "partial 16S ribosomal RNA". It matches the Rfam family "Bacterial small subunit ribosomal RNA", at positions 524 to 776 of the family's 1533-position model. The record is from RNAcentral.